CCUACGGGUGGCUGCAGUGGGGAAUAUUGGACAAUGGGGGGAACCCUGAUCCAGCCAUGCCGCGUGUGUGAAGAAGGCCCUCGGGUUGUAAAGCACUUUCAGUGAGGAAGAACGCCUGGUGGUUAAUACCCAUCAGGAAAGACAUCACUCACAGAAGAAGCACCGGCUAACUCCGUGCCAGCAGCCGCGGUAAUACGGAGGGUGCGAGCGUUAAUCGGAAUUACUGGGCGUAAAGCGCGCGUAGGUGGCUUGAUAAGCCGGUUGUGAAAGCCCCGGGCUCAACCUGGGAACAGCAUCCGGAACUGUCAAGCUAGAGUGCAGGAGAGGAAGGUAGAAUUCCCGGUGUAGCGGUGAAAUGCGUAGAGAUCGGGAGGAAUACCAGUGGCGAAGGCGGCCUUCUGGACUGACACUGACACUGAGGUGCGAAAGCGUGGGUAGCAAACAGGAUUAGAUACCCGAGUAGUC
Molecule: ribosomal RNA, 465 nt
Filed under: Vreelandella stevensii
Lineage: Bacteria; Pseudomonadati; Pseudomonadota; Gammaproteobacteria; Oceanospirillales; Halomonadaceae
Description: partial 16S ribosomal RNA
Rfam family: Bacterial small subunit ribosomal RNA
Source: RNAcentral